Molecule: ribosomal RNA, 2905 nt
Filed under: Salmonella enterica subsp. enterica serovar Newport str. USMARC-S3124.1
Lineage: Bacteria; Pseudomonadati; Pseudomonadota; Gammaproteobacteria; Enterobacterales; Enterobacteriaceae
Description: bacterial LSU rRNA
Rfam family: Bacterial large subunit ribosomal RNA
Source: RNAcentral
UUAAGCGACUAAGCGUACACGGUGGAUGCCCUGGCAGUCAGAGGCGAUGAAGGGCGUGCUAAUCUGCGAUAAGCGCCGGUAAGGUGAUAUGAACCGUUAUAACCGGCGAUACCCGAAUGGGGAAACCCAGUGUGAUUCGUCACACUAUCAUUAACUGAAUCCAUAGGUUAAUGAGGCGAACCGGGGGAACUGAAACAUCUAAGUACCCCGAGGAAAAGAAAUCAACCGAGAUUCCCCCAGUAGCGGCGAGCGAACGGGGAGGAGCCCAGAGCCUGAAUCAGCAUGUGUGUUAGUGGAAGCGUCUGGAAAGGCGCGCGAUACAGGGUGACAGCCCCGUACACAAAAGCGCAUGUGCUGUGAGCUCGAUGAGUAGGGCGGGACACGUGGUAUCCUGUCUGAAUAUGGGGGGACCAUCCUCCAAGGCUAAAUACUCCUGACUGACCGAUAGUGAACCAGUACCGUGAGGGAAAGGCGAAAAGAACCCCGGCGAGGGGAGUGAAAAAGAACCUGAAACCGUGUACGUACAAGCAGUGGGAGCACAGGUUUACCUGUGUGACUGCGUACCUUUUGUAUAAUGGGUCAGCGACUUAUAUUCUGUAGCAAGGUUAACCGUAUAGGGGAGCCGUAGGGAAACCGAGUCUUAACCGGGCGUUAAGUUGCAGGGUAUAGACCCGAAACCCGGUGAUCUAGCCAUGGGCAGGUUGAAGGUUGGGUAACACUAACUGGAGGACCGAACCGACUAAUGUUGAAAAAUUAGCGGAUGACCUGUGGCUGGGGGUGAAAGGCCAAUCAAACCGGGAGAUAGCUGGUUCUCCCCGAAAGCUAUUUAGGUAGCGCCUCGUGAAUUCAUCUCCGGGGGUAGAGCACUGUUUCGGCUAGGGGGCCAUCCCGGCUUACCAACCCGAUGCAAACUGCGAAUACCGGAGAAUGUUAUCACGGGAGACACACGGCGGGUGCUAACGUCCGUCGUGAAGAGGGAAACAACCCAGACCGCCAGCUAAGGUCCCAAAGUCAUGGUUAAGUGGGAAACGAUGUGGGAAGGCCCAGACAGCCAGGAUGUUGGCUUAGAAGCAGCCAUCAUUUAAAGAAAGCGUAAUAGCUCACUGGUCGAGUCGGCCUGCGCGGAAGAUGUAACGGGGCUAAACCAUGCACCGAAGCUGCGGCAGCGACACUGUGUGUUGUUGGGUAGGGGAGCGUUCUGUAAGCCUGUGAAGGUGUGUCGUGAGGCAUGCUGGAGGUAUCAGAAGUGCGAAUGCUGACAUAAGUAACGAUAAAGCGGGUGAAAAGCCCGCUCGCCGGAAGACCAAGGGUUCCUGUCCAACGUUAAUCGGGGCAGGGUGAGUCGACCCCUAAGGCGAGGCCGAAAGGCGUAGUCGAUGGGAAACAGGUUAAUAUUCCUGUACUUGGUGUUACUGCGAAGGGGGGACGGAGAAGGCUAUGUUGGCCGGGCGACGGUUGUCCCGGUUUAAGCGUGUAGGUGUGUGUUCCAGGUAAAUCCGGUUCACUUUAACACUGAGGCGUGAUGACGAGGCACUACGGUGCUGAAGCAACAAAUGCCCUGCUUCCAGGAAAAGCCUCUAAGCAUCAGGUAACAUCAAAUCGUACCCCAAACCGACACAGGUGGUCAGGUAGAGAAUACCAAGGCGCUUGAGAGAACUCGGGUGAAGGAACUAGGCAAAAUGGUGCCGUAACUUCGGGAGAAGGCACGCUGACACGUAGGUGAAGUGAUUUACUCAUGGAGCUGAAGUCAGUCGAAGAUACCAGCUGGCUGCAACUGUUUAUUAAAAACACAGCACUGUGCAAACACGAAAGUGGACGUAUACGGUGUGACGCCUGCCCGGUGCCGGAAGGUUAAUUGAUGGGGUCAGCGCAAGCGAAGCUCCUGAUCGAAGCCCCGGUAAACGGCGGCCGUAACUAUAACGGUCCUAAGGUAGCGAAAUUCCUUGUCGGGUAAGUUCCGACCUGCACGAAUGGCGUAAUGAUGGCCAGGCUGUCUCCACCCGAGACUCAGUGAAAUUGAACUCGCUGUGAAGAUGCAGUGUACCCGCGGCAAGACGGAAAGACCCCGUGAACCUUUACUAUAGCUUGACACUGAACAUUGAGCCUUGAUGUGUAGGAUAGGUGGGAGGCUUUGAAGCGUGGACGCCAGUCUGCGUGGAGCCGACCUUGAAAUACCACCCUUUAAUGUUUGAUGUUCUAACGUGGACCCGUAAUCCGGGUUGCGGACAGUGUCUGGUGGGUAGUUUGACUGGGGCGGUCUCCUCCUAAAGAGUAACGGAGGAGCACGAAGGUUGGCUAAUCCUGGUCGGACAUCAGGAGGUUAGUGCAAUGGCAUAAGCCAGCUUGACUGCGAGCGUGACGGCGCGAGCAGGUGCGAAAGCAGGUCAUAGUGAUCCGGUGGUUCUGAAUGGAAGGGCCAUCGCUCAACGGAUAAAAGGUACUCCGGGGAUAACAGGCUGAUACCGCCCAAGAGUUCAUAUCGACGGCGGUGUUUGGCACCUCGAUGUCGGCUCAUCACAUCCUGGGGCUGAAGUAGGUCCCAAGGGUAUGGCUGUUCGCCAUUUAAAGUGGUACGCGAGCUGGGUUUAGAACGUCGUGAGACAGUUCGGUCCCUAUCUGCCGUGGGCGCUGGAGAACUGAGGGGGGCUGCUCCUAGUACGAGAGGACCGGAGUGGACGCAUCACUGGUGUUCGGGUUGUCAUGCCAAUGGCACUGCCCGGUAGCUAAAUGCGGAAGAGAUAAGUGCUGAAAGCAUCUAAGCACGAAACUUGCCCCGAGAUGAGUUCUCCCUGAGACUUAGAGUCUCCUGAAGGAACGUUGAAGACGACGACGUUGAUAGGCCGGGUGUGUAAGCGCAGCGAUGCGUUGAGCUAACCGGUACUAAUGAACCGUGAGGCUUAACCUU